GGCAGUCAGAGGCGAUGAAGGGCGUGCUAAUCUGCGAUAAGCGCCGGUAAGGUGAUAUGAACCGUUAUAACCGGCGAUACCCGAAUGGGGAAACCCAGUGUGAUUCGUCACACUAUCAUUAACUGAAUCCAUAGGUUAAUGAGGCGAACCGGGGGAACUGAAACAUCUAAGUACCCCGAGGAAAAGAAAUCAACCGAGAUUCCCCCAGUAGCGGCGAGCGAACGGGGAGGAGCCCAGAGCCUGAAUCAGCAUGUGUGUUAGUGGAAGCGUCUGGAAAGGCGCGCGAUACAGGGUGACAGCCCCGUACACAAAAGCGCAUGUGCUGUGAGCUCGAUGAGUAGGGCGGGACACGUGGUAUCCUGUCUGAAUAUGGGGGGACCAUCCUCCAAGGCUAAAUACUCCUGACUGACCGAUAGUGAACCAGUACCGUGAGGGAAAGGCGAAAAGAACCCCGGCGAGGGGAGUGAAAAAGAACCUGAAACCGUGU
RNAcentral lists this ribosomal RNA (487 nucleotides) under Salmonella enterica subsp. enterica serovar Enteritidis. RNAcentral describes it as "partial 23S ribosomal RNA". It matches the Rfam family "Bacterial large subunit ribosomal RNA", at positions 35 to 561 of the family's 2925-position model. The record is from RNAcentral. Lineage: Bacteria; Pseudomonadati; Pseudomonadota; Gammaproteobacteria; Enterobacterales; Enterobacteriaceae.